UGAUGUGUAGGAAACCAUUAUAACACCGCUCGGGCAGUGCUCUCUGGCUGCUGCUGCCACCGCCGCCCUUGCCUAUGGUGCACAUUAAAGAUCCAAAACCAUGACUGACUCCAAGUACUUCACAACCAAUAGAGAGGGAGAAAUCUUUGAAUUAAAGGCUGAACUCAACAAUGAAAAGAAAGAAAAGAGGAAGGAGGCUGUGAAGAAAGUGAUUGCUGCUAUGACUGUGGGGAAAGAUGUUAGCUCUCUCUUUCCAGAUGUCGUGAACUAUAUGCAGAUAGACAACCUGGAACUGAAGAAGCUUGUGUAUCUCUACUUUAUGAACUACGCCAAGAGUCAGCCAGAUAUGGCCAUCAUGAAUGUCAACAGCUUUGUGAAGGACUGUGAAGAUCCAAAUCCUCUGAUUCAAGCCUUGGUAGUCAGAACCAUGUGGUGCAUCCAGGUGGACAAGACUACAGAAUAUCUCUGUAAGCCCCUCCGCAAGUGCUUAAAGGAUGAUGAUCCCUACGUCCAGAAGACAGCAGCAGUCUGUGUGGCAAAACUCCAUAAUAUCAAUGCCCAGAUGAUGGAAGAUCAGGAAUUUCUGGAUUCUCUGCGGGAUCACAUAGCUGAUUCAAAUCCAAUGGUGGUAGCUAAUGCUAUAGCAGCAUUAUCUGAAAUCAGUGAAUCUCACCUCAACAUCAACUUACUCGAUCUAUGUCCACAGAACAUUAAUAAGCUACUGACAGCCCUGAAUGAGUGCACUGAAUGGGUCCAGAUUUUCAUCUUGGACUGCCUGUCUAAUUACAACCCUAAAGAUGACUGGGAGGCUCAGAACAUCUGUGAGCGGGUAACUCCCUGGUUAUCUCAUGCCAACUCAGCAGUGGUGCUUUCAGCAGUAAAAGUCCUAAUGAAAUUUCUAGAGUUGCUACCCGAGGACUCUGACUACUACAAUACGCUGCUGAAGAAGUUGGCCCCUCCACUUGUCACUUGGCUGUCUGGGGAGCCAGAGGUGCAAUACGCCUGAGGAACAUCAACGUAAUUGUCCAGAAAAGGCCUGAAAUCUUGAAGCAGGAAAUAAAAGUUUUCUUUGUGAAGUACAAUGAUCCCAUCUACGUGAAACUAGAGAAAUUGGACAUCGUGAUUCCAAGCCAACAUUACUCAGGUUCUGGCUGAACUGAUAGAAUAUGCCACAGAGGUGGAUGUUGAUUUUGUGUGCAAAGCUGUGCAAGCCAUUGGAUGAUGUGCCAUCAAGGUGGAGCAAUCUGCAGAGCGCUGUGUGAGCACGUUGCUUGAUCUCAUCCAAACCAAAGUAAAUCAUGUGGUCCAAGAGGCGAUUGUUGGCAUCAGGGACAUCUUCCACAAAUACCCCCAACAAAUAUGAAAGUAUCAUUGCCACACUGUGUGAGAUCUUAGAUUCACUGGAUGAGCCAGACGCUUGAGAAGCUAUGAUUUGGAUUGUGGGAGAAUGUGCUGAAAGAAUUGACAAUGCAGAUGAGUUACUAGAGAGCUUCCUGGAGGGUUUUCAUGAGGAAAGCACCCAAGUGCAGCUCCCUCUGCUCACUGCCAUAGUGAAGCUGUUUCUCAAGAAACCAUCAGAAACACAGGAGCUGGUAAGCAGGUCUUGAAUUUGGCAACACAGGAUUCUGAUAAUCCUGACCUUCGAGACCAGGGCUAUAUUUAUUGGUGCCUUCUCUCAACUGAUCCUGUCACCGCUAAAGAAGUAGUCUUGUCUGAAAAGCCACUGAUUUCUGAGGAGACAGAGCUUAUUGAGCCAGCUCUAUUGGAGGAGCUAAUCUGCCACACUGUCUUUGGCCGCAGUGUACCAUAAGCCGCCCAAUGCUUUUGUGGAAGGAAGUCAUGGAAUCCAUCGCAAACACACCAAUACAUCACGGGAGCACUGAUGCGGGUGACAGCCCUGUUGGCGUCACUGCCACUAACCCAGGACAGCCUCAGGUUAUCCCCUCCCAGGGUGACCCUCUGGGGGAUCUUUUAAACCUUGACCUUGGUCCCCCAGUCAAUGUGCCACAGGUAUCAUCCAUGCAGAUGGGAGCAGUGGAUCUCUUGGGAGGAGGACUAGAUAGUCUGGUGGGACAGCCCUUCAUCCCAUCAUCAGUGCCUGCAACCUUUGCUCCUUCCCCUACUGCUGCUGUGGUCAGCAGUGGUCUGAAUGACCCAUUUGAACUUUCCACAGGGAUAGGCAUGGCGCCUGGUGGAUAUGUGCCUCCUAAGGCUGCGUGGCUGCCUGCGGUAAAGGCUAAAGGCCUGGAGAUUUCAGGAACAUUUACUCACCCCCAAGGGCACAUCUGUAUGGAACUUCAUCAACAAAGCUCUGCAGCACAUGACAGAGUCUGCAAUUCAGUUUAACGAGAAUAGCUUUGGUGUCAUCCCCAGUACUCCUCUGGCCAUCCAUACACCACUGACACCAAACCAGAGCAUUGAUGUCUCCCUGCCUCUCAACACCUUGGGCCCAGUCAUGAAGAGGGAGCCUUUGAACAACCAGCAGGUGGCUGUGAAAAACAAUAUUGAUGUCAUCUACUUCAGCUGCCUCAUCCCACUCAAUGUGCUUUUUGCACAAGAUGGCAAAAUGGAGCGCCAGGUCUUCCUUGCAACAUGGAAGGAUAUUCCAUUGAAAAUGAACUUCAGUUUCAGAUUAAGAAAUGCCAUUUAAAUGUUGACACUGUUCCCAGCAAGUUGCGAAACAACGUUUAUACUAUUGCCAAGAGGAAUGUAGAAGGGCAGGACAUGUUGUACCAACCCCUGAAGCUCACUAAUGGCAUUUGGAUUUUGGCCGAGCUACGUACCCAGCCAGGAAACCCCAAUUACACACUUGCUGAAGUGGAGACCUCCCGAGGUCUCCCAGUACAUCUAUCAGGUCUACAACAGCAUUUUGAAAAACUAA
RNA transcript from Capra hircus (goat), 2881 nucleotides. It is a transcript of the gene named AP-2 complex subunit beta pseudogene, with no coding region annotated. The record is from RefSeq and is a predicted model, not a curated record. The transcript has a single exon. Lineage: Eukaryota; Metazoa; Chordata; Mammalia; Artiodactyla; Bovidae.